GGAGCCCACCACCAGGACGUCCCCCUUACCAAACAGCAGGGGCUGCAGCACACUCACUGCCACACACACACUCCUGUCCUGCAGAGCAGACAUGCACAAACAGACAGGCAGRGGUAGCAGGUAUGAGGUGGUGAGGCUGCUGUGCUGUAGGAAAGCAUGCAGACCCUGGGAGAAGACCAGGGUGUCUGGACAGAGAGGGUCCCUGCAAAACUGGGAGUCCGUGAGGCCUUCCUUUGAACCUGCUUUGCUCCAGUGCAACCAUGAUGGGUGACACCGAACCUUCUUUUAAAAUGCGAGACCAAUAGAUGGAGCAUGACUGCGUGGGUAGACGUUGGAAUGUGAACGUUGCAGUAAAGAUGUCAAAGUCACACACCUGAGAUCAGGAAGAAGGAAAGCAAUUGGUCCCACCCACGCCCGGCUCUCCAAGGAAUUCAGGUAGGCAAACACACACACAUGUGGAGACGCACACUCUUACACAAUGUUGAAUAAGAGAUGAAGGCUGCCUCUCUGGAAGUGUUGAAACCGAGCUGCAUGAUUAAACAAGUGUCAUAUCUGCUGUGUAGAGGACGAGAAUGAAGAAUCACUGUUUUACUUUCAGUUCAGCUGGAAAGCAGGAGCCUUACUUGGUGAAAAGUGGGGGGACCUGCUGAUGCAAAGAUGUCAAGUUUCAGGUUUUCCUCCCCUGCUGCGAGUCAGAGUCACGCUGGUAGUAAAACACAACCUGAGCGAGUGUGUGAGCGAGCUGUUAUUACCAAAAGUUGUCAUUAUGGAGGGAUCACCAUUACACACGUCAAUGGGUGCAGACCGCAGCUGACAGACGACCUGUCAUCGUGACCUCAGGGAGGGGGGCAGGGAUGAGCAGGGGCUGCACGGUGAGCGGUGUGAGGUUUUGUUGGAUGGUGUCUGAAGGAAAACCUUCUUUUGUGGGGCAGGAGUGUUGCUGUGAACUGCUGUUUGAGGUCUGUGUUUUGGACUCCAACACACACACACACACACAGACACACACACACACGCACACACUAGCACACAAUCAGAUGAAAGCAGGUUGAACAGAGGCGCAGGUGGAUAGCAUUUCUCCUCCAGACUGAUAGGGAGGGAGGGAGGCGACAUGUUUGGGAGUUUGAGCGGCUUCAUUCUGGUUUGGUGAGUUUUCGGAGCAGGUAGUGUGUACACCAUACACACAGCGUCAGAGAGACGGAGGAAGGCAAACAGAAAGUAUGACAAGGAGGUUUUUUGUUUUAUUAAGCUAAAUGAAACCGAGGGCUUGAAGAGAGUUUGGAUGGUGAUACCUAAACUUGACACCAGCUAUGCUCUGCAGCGAGGAGGGUGUACUGUUGGGUCUCGUAGGAUCAAGAAGGUAUUCUCUGGGAUGAUUAGUUAGUGUGUUUGCUCUGAGCUUUUUCUUUUCCUUCCACCUCCCUCCGUCUCUCUCUCUCUCUCUCUCUCUCUCUCUCUCUCUCUCUCUCUCUCUCUCUCGCUCUCUCUCUCUCUCUCUCUCCCCCUCCUUCUCGGCUCCUAGGAAUGUGGGGCUUAUGUCAGUGAGAGUCAGGUACAGACUCACUAAUUAUCGCUGCCCUUCAUCCCUCCCUCUGCCUCCGUUGCUCUCUCCUUCUUCUCCGUCACCUCCUGCUCUCUCCUCCACUUGGAGACCUUGUCCCCCCCACCUUCUCCUGUCCCGUCUCCUGCUGUUACGUCUACAUGUGUUGUCGUGACUGGAGGAGAGGACAAACAGAGAGGAUCUGAGUCAGGACCUGAAAAAACACCAAAAGGAGAAGAGAAACUCUGACUUGUCCUGUCUCAUUGUGUGAGCGGUUUGUGUGCUUCUGAGAUUUCUUCUCAUUGUGAUUUUUGUUUUGUUUUGUUUUGUGUUGUGUGUGUGUGUGUGUGUGUGUG
Long non-coding RNA from Austrofundulus limnaeus, 1893 nucleotides. RefSeq lists it as uncharacterized. NCBI's taxonomy places the organism in Eukaryota, Metazoa, Chordata, Actinopteri, Cyprinodontiformes, Rivulidae. The record is from RefSeq and is a predicted model, not a curated record. The transcript has 4 exons.